GGGUUGUUCCUUUUGCUCUCUUUUUUUCCAUGUUCUUCUUUGAGGAAACCAUCCAUUCAUUUUUGAAAUGUCAGGAAAAACGUCUCGUUCCAGUGGUUUUCUGGUGUAUUCCAGUUUGUAGGAUGUAAGCGUGUUGAUUGUAUGGUAUAUUUUAAUGGAUGUUUAUCAGUCUCAUAUGUUUCUUUUGUGGGAUGGUUUCUUCUGUAGUUUUUCCCAUCUGAUACUU
This 226-nucleotide unclassified non-coding RNA is filed under the name Hevea brasiliensis (rubber tree). Lineage: Eukaryota; Viridiplantae; Streptophyta; Magnoliopsida; Malpighiales; Euphorbiaceae. The record is from RNAcentral.